CCCUUAGAUGUUCUGGGCUGCACACGUGCUACACUGGCAGGUUCAGCGAGCUUCAUGCCCUGAUCUGAAAGGAAUGGGAAAUCUUUUCAAAACCUGCCGUACUUGGGAUAGAUGUUUGCAAUUAUUCAUCUUCAACGAGGAUUGCCUUGUAAGCGCACGUCAUCAGCGUGCAUUGAAUACGACCCUGUAUUCUGUACACACCGCCCGUCGCUCCUACCGAUUGAAGUUUUCGGUGAGUUGACAGGAGGAUUUUUUUGAAACUGGUUCGCCAGUGGAUUUUAGAUCCAAAUGCCAACGAAACGAUGGCUUUAGAGGAAGGAGAAGUCGUAACA
RNAcentral lists this ribosomal RNA (332 nucleotides) under uncultured eukaryote. RNAcentral's name for it is "partial 18S ribosomal RNA". It matches the Rfam family "Eukaryotic small subunit ribosomal RNA", at positions 1470 to 1796 of the family's 1831-position model. The record is from RNAcentral.